AACGCGAAGAACCUUACCAAGGCUUGACAUACGCCGGAAAGCAUUAGAGAUGGUGCCCCCCUUGUGGUCGGUGUACAGGUGGUGCAUGGCUGUCGUCAGCUCGUGUCGUGAGAUGUUGGGUUAAGUCCCGCAACGAGCGCAACCCUUGUCCUGUGUUGCCAGCAUGCCCUUCGGGGUGAUGGGGACUCACAGGAGACCGCCGGGGUCAACUCGGAGGAAGGUGGGGACGACGUCAAGUCAUCAUGCCCCUUAUGUCUUGGGCUGCACACGUGCUACAAUGGCCGGUACAAUGAGCUGCGAUACCGUGAGGUGGAGCGAAUCUCAAAAAGCCGGUCUCAGUUCGGAUUGGGGUCUGCAACUCGACCCCAUGAGUCGAGUUGCGAGAAUCGCA
This 391-nucleotide ribosomal RNA is filed under the name uncultured bacterium. RNAcentral's name for it is "bacterial SSU rRNA". It matches the Rfam family "Bacterial small subunit ribosomal RNA", at positions 958 to 1346 of the family's 1533-position model. The record is from RNAcentral.